UACUAAAAUCAAUGGAGUUAGUGAAGAUGGUUUCAAGCUUCGCUUGUUUCCAUUUUCACUUGGAGAUAAA
RNAcentral lists this small RNA (70 nucleotides) under Arabidopsis thaliana (thale cress). Its description in RNAcentral is "ATSL205680". Lineage: Eukaryota; Viridiplantae; Streptophyta; Magnoliopsida; Brassicales; Brassicaceae. The record is from RNAcentral.